RNAcentral lists this ribosomal RNA (495 nucleotides) under uncultured bacterium. RNAcentral's name for it is "partial 16S ribosomal RNA". It matches the Rfam family "Bacterial small subunit ribosomal RNA", at positions 30 to 507 of the family's 1533-position model. The record is from RNAcentral.
UGAACGCUGGCGGCGUGCCUAAUACAUGCAAGUCGAGCGAACAGAUAAGGAGCUUGCUCCUUUGACGUUAGCGGCGGACGGGUGAGUAACACGUGGGUAACCUACCUAUAAGACUGGAAUAACUCCGGGAAACCGGGGCUAAUGCCGGAUAACAUUUAGAACCGCAUGGUUCUAAAGUGAAAGAUGGUUUUGCUAUCACUUAUAGAUGGACCCGCGCCGUAUUAGCUAGUUGGUAAGGUAACGGCUUACCAAGGCAACGAUACGUAGCCGACCUGAGAGGGUGAUCGGCCACACUGGAACUGAGACACGGUCCAGACUCCUACGGGAGGCAGCAGUAGGGAAUCUUCCGCAAUGGGCGAAAGCCUGACGGAGCAACGCCGCGUGAGUGAUGAAGGUCUUCGGAUCGUAAAACUCUGUUAUUAGGGAAGAACAAAUGUGUAAGUAACUGUGCACGUCUUGACGGUACCUAAUCAGAAAGCCGCGGCUAACUACGUG